This 497-nucleotide ribosomal RNA is filed under the name uncultured bacterium. RNAcentral's name for it is "partial 16S ribosomal RNA". It matches the Rfam family "Bacterial small subunit ribosomal RNA", at positions 28 to 507 of the family's 1533-position model. The record is from RNAcentral.
GAUGAACGCUGGCGGCGUGCCUAAUACAUGCAAGUCGAGCGAACAGAUGAGGAGCUUGCUCCUCUGACGUUAGCGGCGGACGGGUGAGUAACACGUGGAUAACCUACCUAUAAGACUGGGAUAACUUCGGGAAACCGGAGCUAAUACCGGAUAAUAUAUCGAACCGCAUGGUUCAAUAGUGAAAGACGGUUUUGCUGUCACUUAUAGAUGGAUCCGCGCCGCAUUAGCUAGUUGGUAAGGUUACGGCUUACCAAGGCAACGAUGCGUAGCCGACCUGAGAGGGUGAUCGGCCACACUGGAACUGAGACACGGUCCAGACUCCUACGGGAGGCAGCAGUAGGGAAUCUUCCGCAAUGGGCGAAAGCCUGACGGAGCAACGCCGCGUGAGUGAUGAAGGUCUUCGGAUCGUAAAACUCUGUUAUUAGGGAAGAACAAAUGUGUAAGUAACUAUGCACGUCUUGACGGUACCUAAUCAGAAAGCCACGGCUAACUACGUG